UAGGGAAUCUUCCACAAUGGACGCAAGUCUGAUGGAGCAACGCCGCGUGAGUGAAGAAGGUUUUCGGAUCGUAAAGCUCUGUUGUUGGUGAAGAAGGAUAGAGGUAGUAACUGGCCUUUAUUUGACGGUAAUCAACCAGAAAGUCACGGCUAACUACGUGCCAGCAGCCGCGGUAAUACGUAGGUGGCAAGCGUUGUCCGGAUUUAUUGGGCGUAAAGCGAGCGCAGGCGGAAGAAUAAGUCUGAUGUGAAAGCCCUCGGCUUAACCGAGGAACUGCAUCGGAAACUGUUUUUCUUGAGUGCAGAAGAGGAGAGUGGAAUACCAUGUGUAGCGGUGGAAUGCGUAGAUAUAUGGAAGAACACCAGUGGCGAAGGCGACUCUCUGGUCUGUAACUGACGCUGAGGCUCGAAAGCAUGGGUAGCGAACAGG
Molecule: ribosomal RNA, 429 nt
Filed under: bacterium
Lineage: Bacteria
Description: partial 16S ribosomal RNA
Rfam family: Bacterial small subunit ribosomal RNA
Source: RNAcentral